This 16-nucleotide ribosomal RNA is filed under the name Perilla frutescens var. crispa. The record is from RNAcentral. Lineage: Eukaryota; Viridiplantae; Streptophyta; Magnoliopsida; Lamiales; Lamiaceae.
GGGGGGGAUAAUACCA